AUUGAACGCUGGCGGAAUGCCUUACACAUGCAAGUCGAACGGCAGCACGGGAGCAAUCCUGGUGGCGAGUGGCGAACGGGUGAGUAAUACAUCGGAACGUGCCCAAUCGUGGGGGAUAACGUAGCGAAAGCUACGCUAAUACCGCAUACGAUCUACGGAUGAAAGCGGGGGAUCGCAAGACCUCGCGCGAAUGGAGCGGCCGAUGGCAGAUUAGGUAGUUGGNGGGGUAAAGGCUCACCAAGCCUGCGAUCUGUAGCUGGUCUGAGAGGACGGACCUGCCACACUGGGACUGAGACACGGCCCAGACUCCUACGGGAGGCAGCAGUGGGAAUUUUGGACAAUGGGCGCAAGCCUGAUCCAGCCAUUCCGCGUGCAGGAUGAAGGCC
This 386-nucleotide ribosomal RNA is filed under the name uncultured bacterium. RNAcentral's name for it is "bacterial SSU rRNA". It matches the Rfam family "Bacterial small subunit ribosomal RNA", at positions 29 to 416 of the family's 1533-position model. The record is from RNAcentral.